CAACAAUUUCAAGAAACAAAGUCCUCUUACCACAUGAUCAACUAGACUUUUUGUAACACCCCUAAAACCACAGUGUCUGGAACUGACCCUUAAAUGCGUUUUUAGAUAAAAAGACUUUCAGCAGCCGAAGUCCCUUCGAAGACUAAGAUAUAAAAAGCCAAUAGAAGAUAGGGAUUCAACCUACCAAUUACAUGUUUUGGGACUACUGAGUUUGGUUGUUUGUUUUGGCAAGUUGGGAUACUGCAGAAUCGAAUUUGAAAUUUUGAAAAUUCUCAGGUUUGACUACUGAAAUCAUUAUUUUGGCAGCCGAAAAGGCUACUGCCUCCUGAGGGCAUUUGAAAUACAAGUCUUCGGCAAUCAAAGUUGCUUCUGCCUGCUUAGCUUUUCUAUUGAGUUUUAUGGUUCUAGAAACCAAUUUUAUGGGCCUAGACAGUAUAGAAUCAAG
This 445-nucleotide unclassified non-coding RNA is filed under the name Hevea brasiliensis (rubber tree). Lineage: Eukaryota; Viridiplantae; Streptophyta; Magnoliopsida; Malpighiales; Euphorbiaceae. The record is from RNAcentral.